AUUGAACGCUGGCGGCAGGCUUAACACAUGCAAGUCGAGCGGGGAAAGGUAGCUUGCUACUGGACCUAGCGGCGGACGGGUGAGUAAUACUUAGGAAUUUGCCUAUUAGUGGGGGACAACGUUUUGAAAGGGACGCUAAUACCGCAUACGCCCUACGGGGGAAAGCAGGGGAUUUUUGGACCUUGCGCUAAUAGAUGAGCCUAAGCCGGAUUAGCUAGUUGGUGGGGUAAAGGCCUACCAAGGCGACGAUUUGUAGCGGGUUUGAGAGGAUGAUUCGCCACACUGGGACUGAGACACGGCCCAGACUCCUACGGGAGGCAGCAGUGGGGAAUAUUGGACAAUGGGGGAAACCCUGAUCCAGCCAUGCCGCGUGUGUGAAGAAGGCCUUUUGGUUGUAAAGCACUUUAAGCGAGGAGGAGGAGCUUUAGGUUAAUACCUUAGAUGCUUGGACGUUACUCGCAGAAUAAGCACCGGCUAACUUUGUG
Molecule: ribosomal RNA, 485 nt
Filed under: uncultured bacterium
Lineage: Bacteria
Description: bacterial SSU rRNA
Rfam family: Bacterial small subunit ribosomal RNA
Source: RNAcentral